CAGCCGCCGCGGUAAUACGGAGAGAGCUAGCGUUAUUCGGAAUUACUGGGCGUAAAGCGCACGUAGGCGGCUUUGUAAGUAAGAGGUGAAAGCCCGGGGCUCAACCCCGGAAUUGCCCUUUAGACUGCAUCGCUUGAAUCAUGGAGAGGUCAGUGGAAUUCCGAGUGUAGAGGUGAAAUCCGUAGAUAUUCGGAAGAACACCAGCGGCGAAGGCGGCUGACUGGACAUGUAUUGACGCUGAGGUGCGAAAGCGUGGGGAGCAAACAGGAUUAGAUACCCGCGUAGUCCCUGUCUCUUAUAC
This 301-nucleotide ribosomal RNA is filed under the name uncultured bacterium. RNAcentral's name for it is "partial 16S ribosomal RNA". It matches the Rfam family "Bacterial small subunit ribosomal RNA", at positions 509 to 807 of the family's 1533-position model. The record is from RNAcentral.